Zeugodacus cucurbitae (melon fly) is the source of this 1588-nucleotide RNA transcript. It is a transcript of the gene named putative nuclease HARBI1, with no coding region annotated. The transcript is spliced from 5 exons. NCBI's taxonomy places the organism in Eukaryota, Metazoa, Arthropoda, Insecta, Diptera, Tephritidae. The record is from RefSeq and is a predicted model, not a curated record.
CGAUGCACACUGAUGAACGCAACCGCUAUCGCCAGCCUGUAUGAUGUCCGGGAGAGUGAGAGAGAUAGCAUAUCUAAAAACUGGCCUACCUGAAAUUCUUGUUUUUUUUGACGUUGCUAGCUCUCGUACUAUAAUGUCGUACUUUGUUAUAAAAAUUGUCUUUUUUUUAUAAAUUUUCUCCACUCAAUGGAAAUAAUUGAGGAAUUGUUUGAUUUGAACCGCCUAGCAAUGAAACGUUUGUUGCAUGCACACAUAAUACUCAAAAUGGGUAGUCUACAUGGAGCAAAUUCAGCAAGGUCUAUUUGGAUGAAGACUCGUGGCCAAAUGUUUUGGGAAGUCGAUUGCCAGGUGAAUUCAGAUGCAUUCUUUAAAAGCAACUUCCGAAUGAAGCGCAAAUCAUUCAAUAAAUUGUGCAUUAUGUUGAAAGGCUUGGAGAAGAAAACCACUAACUACUGGAAAACAAUUCAAUUAGAAAAACGCAUUGCUAUUGCUUUAUAUGCUCUUGGCUCUUCUGCAGAAUACGGAACAAUUGGAAAUAUGUUCGGAAUUGGUAAAAUCACAGUCUGCUCCAUUCUAAUUGAGUGCUGCCAUGAAGUCUGGCGAUGUUUGUGGCCAUUGUAUUUGAAGAAAUUCCCAAUGAACGAAUUUCAAGUGCGGGAGUAUAUAAAUGGUUUUGAGUCAUUGGGUUUCCCUCAAGUGUUAGGAGCUAUAGAUGGUUGUCAUAUAGAAGUUCGCCCAGCAGCAGAAGAUGCUGUUGACUACUACAAUUACAAAGGCUGGUAUUCCACAGUUCUUUUGGCUUUGGUAGAUGCAAGAUGCCGCUUUAUAUACAUCAACGUUGGUAGUCCAGGCCGUUGUAAUGACUCUUCAAUAUUUGAGAGUUCAUCUUUAAAAAGCCAGUUGGCACAAUCUAGUUUAUUUAAAAACAUGAGUAGACAAAUUUCGUCAAUUAAUGUUCCAGUAGUUUUAUUGGGCGACUCUGCGUUCAAACUAGAUGAACAUUUGAUGAAACCCUACCCUUUUUGUGUAAACCAACCUUCGGAUAAAAAAAAAUUUAACUAUGUUCUCUCGAAAUGUCGAAGAGUGGUGGAGAAUGCUUUCGGUCUUUUAAAGGCAAGGUUUAGACGCGUUGGCAAAGGCUUGGAUAACCACAUGGUCAACACGAGAGCUGUUAUCAAAGCGUGCUGCGUUUUGCAUAACUUUUUAAAUGACGAAAUUGAUGAAAUUAAUGAAAAGUGGAUUGCAGCAUAACAAAUCGAAAACGAAACUCGACAGUUGCCAGAAAACGUCUCUUACGUUUGUGGAAAUGUUAACCCAAGAGCAGACCUCAUUUGACGAUGACCGAGUCGAGCUACCCGAUGUAGAAGGGCCAACGUCAGGGCUCGGGAGCGGCGACUCCCCUUCUUCCUCCAGGUAAAUCGCCUCCAUAUCACCUGAAAAUAUGCAUACAUAUUAUAAACUUUCUGCAAACAAAUAAAAGCAUAAAAAACAUUCCAUAAACGUUUUUCAUUUCGAAUUAUGGAACCUCCAAUACAUUUAAAACUUACCCUCGAUGCUGCCCUCCACAAGCUCGGCGGAACAAAAGCUC